AAGAGAGAAAGUAAUGCGUGAAGAAUAAGCUAAGAAUGUAUUGUAUUAAUUAGGGUCGGAUUUCAGAUGCUUUUCAAGUGAAGAUAAAUCCCUAUAAAUCCAUGUUUAUAGGGUUUAAUGGAUGACUAGUAAUCCUAUAGAAAGGGUUUCCUUUGGAGGUGUCUAUAGCACUACAACCAAUAAUGUGAUGCUAGGUGUCCUAUUGGUGUCAGCCAUUAUCUUUUGUAGAGGCUGAUACAAUACUCCUCUGUUCUUCUAAUGAACUCUGACGUCUCUACCCCUGUACUUUUCUUCCUCGCCAUCCUCACUCUUCGAACAGAGGUGUUUCCUUAAUUUGCAAGAGCUCUGAGAUGUCACUCUCCGGUCGAUGAUGCCAAGUUCAUGGCUCGUUAUAUACGAGAGAUCUCUCGCUUUGUUCUGCAACCUUCGAUGAUCUUUGCCCAAUGCAAAUUACUUUGUUGUCCCUUUUUAAUUCCGUUAGUCUCGAGGAUUAAUGAUAAUUUUCAUUUUUCCAUAGUGUUACUUAAACUUUUAAUAUAUUAGUGGAAAUGAAGUUAUUUUUCUUUACGUUACAUACAACUAUCACUGUACGAUUUUUUAAUAUACAUUAUCUAAUCUAAUGGUAUAUACAUAUAAAAAUUCGUACAUCAACAAUGUAUAUGAAUUAAACUUUUAUUAUUUAUGGAAAAUGUCUUCAACUGUGUGAAAUGAUGCAAAAAUAUCC
RNAcentral lists this long non-coding RNA (724 nucleotides) under Capsicum annuum. RNAcentral describes it as "long non-coding RNA (CANN_LNC019590)". Lineage: Eukaryota; Viridiplantae; Streptophyta; Magnoliopsida; Solanales; Solanaceae. The record is from RNAcentral.